GUCAAAGGACACAAGGCGUAGGGUGGAUACCUAGGCACCUAGAGACGAAGAAGGGCGUGGUACCGACGAAAUGCUCCGGGGAGCUGGAAACAAGCGAUAAUCCGGAGAUUCCCGAAUAGGGCAACCUCUUGAACUACCUGCUGAAUUCAUAGGCAGGAAAGAGACAACCCAGUGAACUGAAACAUCUUAGUAGCUGGAGGAGAAGAAAGCAAAAGCGAUUCCCUGAGUAGCGGCGAGCGAAAAGGGACAAGCCUAAACCAGUUUUCGAACUGGGGUCGUGGGAAAACAAAAAAAAAUAAUCGAUUGAAACGAAGCAGCUGAAUCCUGCACCAAAGAUGGUGAAAGUCCAGUAGUUAAAAAUUGAAAUCAACUUGUUUAUCCCGAGUAGCAUGGGGCACGUGAAAUCCCGUGUGAAUCAGCGAGGACCACCUCGUAAGGCUAAAUACUCCUAGGUGACCGAUAGUGAAAAAGUACCGUGAGGGAAAGGUGAAAAGAACCCCUGUAGGGGAGUGAAAAAGAACAUGAAACCCUACGCUCUCAAACAGUGGGAGGAUAACAAUAUCUGACCGCGUGCCUGUUGAAGAAUGAGCCGGCGACUUAGAAGAAGUGGCUUGGUUAAGGAUAACUAUCCGGAGCCAGAGCGAAAGCAAGUCUGAAUAGGGCGCUUAAAGGUCACUUUUUCUAGACCCGAACCCGGGUGAUCUAACCAUGACCAGGAUGAAGCUUGGGUAACACCACGUGAAGGUCCGAACCGACCGAUGUUGAAAAAUCGGCGGAUGAGUUGUGGUUAGCGGUGAAAUACCAAUCGAACUCGGAGCUAGCUGGUUCUCCCCGAAAUGCGUUGAGGCGCAGCGGUUUAUGAGGCUGUCUAGGGGUAAAGCACUGUUUCGGUGCGGGCUGCGAAAGCGGUACCAAAUCGUGGCAAACUCUGAAUACUAGAUAUGCUAUUCAUGAGCCAGUGAGACGGUGGGGGAUAAGCUUCAUCGUCAAGAGGGAAACAGCCCAGAUCACCAGCUAAGGCCCCAAAAUGGUCGUUAAGUGGCAAAGGAGGUGAGAAUGCUGAAACAACCAGGAGGUUUGCUUAGAAGCAGCCACCCUUUAAAGAGUGCGUAAUAGCUCACUGGUGGAGCGUUCUUGCGCCGAAAAUGUCCGGGACUAAACGACCUGCCGAAGCUGUGGGAUACUUAAUUCACUUGGUUCCUUUUCAAAAAUUUCAUUUGGUCCAAAAACUGGGUUUUUGAAAAGAAAAGGAAAAGGAACAAAAAUGAAAAAAAAUAAAGUAUCGGUAGGGGAGCGUUCUGCUGUAGGGUGAAGCAUUGAUGUAAGUUAAUGUGGACGAAGCGGAAGUGAGAAUGUCGGCUUGAGUAACGCAAACAUUGGUGAGAAUCCAAUGCCCCGUAAACCUAAGGAUUCCUCCACUAGGUUCGUCCAUGGAGGGUGAGUCAGGACCUAAGGCCAGGCCGAAAGGCGUAGCCGAUGGAAAACAGGUUAAUAUUCCUGUACUACUUUUUGUUGGUAUCGAGGGACGGAGCAGGCAGAGGUAGGCCGGAUUUGGAUUUCGGUGGAAACUUUCAAGGCGUUGAGAGAUAGAAGAAAAACUAUCUUAAGCUAAGAAGUGAUACGUUUCAAAAACUUUGUUUUUGAAAUCUACUGGCUGUCAUACUUCCAAGAAAAGCUCGCACUACUCACAAGACAAAAAGUACCUGUACCGAAAACCGACACAGGUAGGUUGGUAGAGAAUACCAAGGGGCGCGAGACAACUCUCUCUAAGGAACUCGGCAAAAUGACCCCGUAACUUCGGGAGAAGGGGUGCCAAGUAAAAACUUGGCCGCAGUGACCAGGCCCAGGCGACUGUUUACCAAAAACACAGGUCUCCGCAAAGUCGUAAGACAACAUAUGGGGGCUGACGCCUGCCCAGUGCCGGAAGGUUAAGGAAGUUGGUUAUUCUUGAUAAAGAAAAAGCUAACGACCGAAGCCCCGGUGAACGGCGGCCGUAACUAUAACGGUCCUAAGGUAGCGAAAUUCCUUGUCGGGUAAGUUCCGACCCGCACGAAAGGCGUAACGAUCUGGGCGCUGUCUCGGAGAGAGACUCGGUGAAAUAGACAUGUCUGUGAAGAUGCGGACUACCUGCACCUGGACAGAAAGACCCUAUGAAGCUUGACUGUAGCCUGAAAUUGGGUUCGGGUUCUUCUUGCGCAGACUAGGUGGGAGGCGUUGAAAGUUUCUUCUUGGGGAAACUGGAGCCAACAGUGAGAGACCACUCUGGAGGAGCUAGAAUUCUAAUGGUGUUCCUUGAAGCAGGACACUUGACAGUUUCAGGUGGGCAGUUUGACUGGGGCGGUCGCCUCCUAAAAGGUAACGGAGGCGUGCAAAGGUUCCCUCAGGCUGGACGGAAAUCAGCCGUAGAGUGUAAAGGCAGAAGGGAGCUUGACUGCAAGACCUACAAGUCGAGCAGGGGCGAAAGCCGGCCUUAGUGAUCCGACGGUUCCGUGUGGAAGGGCCGUCGCUCAACGGAUAAAAGUUACUCUAGGGAUAACAGGCUGAUCUUCCCCAAGAGUUCACAUCGACGGGAAGGUUUGGCACCUCGAUGUCGGCUCAUCGCAACCUGGGGCGGUAGUACGUCCCAAGGGUUGGGCUGUUCGCCCAUGAAAGCGGUACGUGAGCUGGGUUCAGAACGUCGUGAGACAGUUCGGUCCAUAUCCGGUGUAGGCGUUAGAGUAUUGAGGGCACUCAUCCAUAGUACGAGAGGACCUGGAUGAACACACCUCUGGUGUAUCGGUUAUUCUGCCAAGGGUAAACGCCGAGUAGCCAAGUGUGGAAAUGAUAACCGCUGAAGCAUCUAAGUGGGAAGCUUAGCCCAAGAUGAGUACUCUCCAUUAAGCCACGGGAAGACAACCCGGUUGAUAGGCACCAGGUGUACGCACGGUAACGUGUUUAGCCGAGGUGUACUAAUAGGCUGAUCGAAUUUGAC
Molecule: ribosomal RNA, 2971 nt
Filed under: Parachlorella kessleri
Lineage: Eukaryota; Viridiplantae; Chlorophyta; Trebouxiophyceae; Chlorellales; Chlorellaceae
Description: bacterial LSU rRNA
Rfam family: Bacterial large subunit ribosomal RNA
Source: RNAcentral